RNAcentral lists this transfer RNA (73 nucleotides) under Candidatus Hodgkinia cicadicola. Its description in RNAcentral is "tRNA-Ala". It matches the Rfam family "tRNA". From Rfam's summary of the family: Transfer RNA (tRNA) molecules are approximately 80 nucleotides in length. Their secondary structure includes four short double-helical elements and three loops (D, anti-codon, and T loops). The record is from RNAcentral. Lineage: Bacteria; Pseudomonadati; Pseudomonadota; Alphaproteobacteria; Hyphomicrobiales.
GGGGCUAUAGCUUAGUUGGUAGAGCUUUUGCUUUGCAAGCAAAAAGUUAGCGGUUCGAAUCCGCUUAGCUCCA